RNAcentral lists this ribosomal RNA (497 nucleotides) under uncultured bacterium. RNAcentral's name for it is "partial 16S ribosomal RNA". It matches the Rfam family "Bacterial small subunit ribosomal RNA", at positions 28 to 507 of the family's 1533-position model. The record is from RNAcentral.
GACGAACGCUGGCGGCGUGCCUAAUACAUGCAAGUUGAGCGAUGAAGAUUGGUGCUUGCACCCAUUUGAAGAGCAGCGAACGGGUGAGUAACGCGUGGGGAAUCUGCCUUUGAGCGGGGGACAACAUUUGGAAACGAAUGCUAAUACCGCAUAACAACUUUAAACAUAAGUUUUAAGUUUGAAAGAUGCAAUUGCAUCACUCAAAGAUGAUCCCGCGUUGUAUUAGCUAGUUGGUGAGGUAAAGGCUCACCAAGGCGAUGAUACAUAGCCGACCUGAGAGGGUGAUCGGCCACAUUGGGACUGAGACACGGCCCAAACUCCUACGGGAGGCAGCAGUAGGGAAUCUUCGGCAAUGGACGAAAGUCUGGCCGAGCAACGCCGCGUGAGUGAAGAAGGUUGUCGGAUCGUAAAACUCUGUUGGUAGAGAAGAACGUUGGUGAGAGUGGAAAGCUCAUCAAGUGACGGUAACUACCCAGAAAGGGACGGCUAACUACGUG